UGGGGAAUAUUGCACAAUGGAGGGAACUCUGAUGCAGCGACGCCGCGUGAGUGAUGAAGGAAUUCGUUUCGUAAAACUCUGUUCUAUGGGAAGAAAAGGACUGUACCAUAGGAGAAAGCUCCGGCUAAAUACGUGCCAGCAGCCGCGGUAAUACGUAUGGAGCGAGCGUUGUCCGGAAUUAUUGGGCGUAAAGGGUGCGCAGGCGGCUUUACAAGUUGGAUGUGAAAUAUUGUGGCUCAACCACAAACGUGCAUCCAAAACUGCAAAGCCUGAGUUAAGGAGAGGUAAGUGGAAUUCCUGGUGUAGCGGUGGAAUGCGUAGAUAUCAGGAGGAAUACCGGUGGCGAAGGCGACUUACUGGACUUAAACUGACGCUCAGGCACGAAAGCGUGGGGAGCAAACAGG
This 404-nucleotide ribosomal RNA is filed under the name Fusobacteriota bacterium. RNAcentral's name for it is "Fusobacteria bacterium partial 16S ribosomal RNA". It matches the Rfam family "Bacterial small subunit ribosomal RNA", at positions 355 to 776 of the family's 1533-position model. The record is from RNAcentral. Lineage: Bacteria; Fusobacteriati; Fusobacteriota.